This 254-nucleotide ribosomal RNA is filed under the name uncultured bacterium. RNAcentral's name for it is "partial 16S ribosomal RNA". It matches the Rfam family "Bacterial small subunit ribosomal RNA", at positions 524 to 776 of the family's 1533-position model. The record is from RNAcentral.
UACGGGGGGAGCAAGCGUUGUUCGGAUUUACUGGGCGUAAAGGGCGCGUAGGCGGCCACCGCAAGUCGGUUGUGAAAUCUCCGGGCUUAACCCGGAAAGGUCAAUCGAUACUGCGGGGCUAGAGUGCAGAAGGGGCAACUGGAAUUCUCGGUGUAGCGGUGAAAUGCGUAGAUAUCAUGAGGAACACCUGAGGUGAAGACGGGUUGCUGGGCUGACACUGACGCUGAGGCGCGAAAGCCAGGGGAGCAAACGGG